RNAcentral lists this non-coding RNA (195 nucleotides) under bovine gut metagenome. The record is from RNAcentral.
AGAACUGAUAAUUCGAUAGGUGGAAUGAUGGGGCAACGCCUUGAAACGCCUCCUUAAUACUGCGACAGGCAGACAAAGUGCAAUAUUUGUUUGUCUGAAGCUCACAGAAGUCGGCAGAGAGCAGUCCAAACAGGUGAAGCUGUGGAAAUCGGUUCAGAGGUGAACAGUGCUGCCUAUAUGCCGGAGGUCUAUAAA